RNAcentral lists this ribosomal RNA (310 nucleotides) under uncultured bacterium. RNAcentral describes it as "bacterial SSU rRNA". It matches the Rfam family "Bacterial small subunit ribosomal RNA", at positions 43 to 346 of the family's 1533-position model. The record is from RNAcentral.
UCAGGCCUAACACAUGCAAGUCGAACGGUAACAGGAAGAAGCUUCGCUUCUUUCGCUGACGAGUGGCGGACGGGUGAGUAAUGUCUGGGAAACUGCCUGAUGGAGGGGGAUAACUACUGGAAACGGUAGCUAAUACCGCAUAACGUCGCAAGACCAAAGAGGGGGACCUUCGGGCCUCUUGCCAUCGGAUGUGCCCAGAUGGGAUUAGCUAGUAGGUGGGGUAACGGCUCACCUAGGCGACGAUCCCUAGCUGGUCUGAGAGGAUGACCAGCCACACUGGAACUGAGACACGGUCCAGACUCCUACGGGA